RNAcentral lists this long non-coding RNA (636 nucleotides) under Gossypium raimondii (Peruvian cotton). Its description in RNAcentral is "long non-coding RNA (GRAI_LNC008720)". The record is from RNAcentral. Lineage: Eukaryota; Viridiplantae; Streptophyta; Magnoliopsida; Malvales; Malvaceae.
AAGGGAAAACAAUAAUCAAUCACUUAAUGUUGUUAAUUUAUGGGGUUUAAUCAUUCUUUUCAUAAGGGGCCUUAUGAAUAAAUUUUUGAAAUAAGAAAUUAUAUAAUACAACUAGAACAGGGGUAAGUAUAGUGUAAUUGAAUUUACCUCGUUUUAAAAUUAAUAGUAAUAAUAAUUACCUUUGAAAGGGUCGAAUUUGGUGGAAGUUGCAAGAUUUAAGGUAUCAUUAAAAUAACUCAAAGGAUCUUGAGGAUAAUCAGAGCACAUCCCAUGGUUUUGCCAUUCAUGUCUCCAAAAAACAGAGUUGUCAACCCCUGCCCUAAGGUUUGGCCACCUUUGGUUUAGUCUGUCUUGAAUGGGUGUUAGUUUAGCCUGCCAUUUUUACAAUAAAACAAAAUUAACACAACACCACCAAUUCAUGUUAUCUAAGCUAAACACAUGAACAAUAAAAAUAAAGAGGUUACCACAGCAGCAUCGGGACCAACAGGAUUGGCAUGGCAUCUAUUAUUAGGCCCAUAAGCAGGAACUGCGGUGUCAUUGGCAAAUGUUGGCCAUAACCCAUGGAUGGUGAAGAAAGUAGGUAUUGGAGUCUUACAGUUGGCGAGUGGAUAACAAGCAGAAGUCGGCCAUAUCAGA